GACGGACGCUGGCGGCGUGCUUAACACAUGCAAGUCGAACGAUGAAGAAGAGAAACGCGAACUUCGGUUCAAAUUUCACUUCGGAUUAGUGGCAGACGGGUGAGUAACGCGUGAGCAACCUACCUCUUACAAAGGGAUAGCCUCGGGAAACCGUGAUUAAUACCAUAUGACACAUUCAUAAGGCAUCUUAAGAAUGUUAAAGCUACGGCGGUAAGAGAUGGGCUCGCGUCCCAUUAGCUAGUUGGUGAGGUAACGGCCCACCAAGGCGACGAUGGGUAACCGGCCUGAGAGGGUGAACGGUCACAUUGGAACUGAGACACGGUCCAAACUCCUACGGGAGGCAGCAGUGGGGAAUAUUGCACAAUGGAGGGAACUCUGAUGCAGCGACGCCGCGUGGGCGAUGAAGGAAUUCGUUUCGUAAAGCUCUGUUCUAUGGGAAGAAAAGGACUGUACCAUAGGAGAAAGCCCCGGCUAAAUACGUG
RNAcentral lists this ribosomal RNA (482 nucleotides) under uncultured bacterium. Its description in RNAcentral is "partial 16S ribosomal RNA". It matches the Rfam family "Bacterial small subunit ribosomal RNA", at positions 28 to 507 of the family's 1533-position model. The record is from RNAcentral.